CUGGCUCAGGAUGAACGCUAGCUACAGGCUUAACACAUGCAAGUCGAGGGGCAGCGGGAAGUUAGCUUGCUAACGUUGCCGGCGACCGGCGCACGGGUGAGUAACGCGUAUCCAACCUUCCCCUUAGUAGGGCAUAGCCCGAUGAAAAUCGGAUUAAUACCCUAUGUUGUCUUAGUGAGGACAUCUGAGCAGGACCAAAGGUUUACCGCUAAGGGAUGGGGAUGCGUCCGAUUAGGUAGUCGGCGGGUAACGGCCCACCGAGCCAUCGAUCGGUAGGGUUCUGAGAGGAAGGUCCCCCACAUUGGAACUGAGACACGGUCCAAACUCCUACGGGAGGCAGCAGUGAGGAAUAUUGGUCAAUGGGCGAGAGCCUGAACCAGCCAAGUAGCCGUGCAGGAUGACGGCCCUAUGGGUUGUAAACUGCUUUUAUGCGGGGAUAAAGUUCGCCACGUGUGGCGUUUUGUAGGUACCGCAUGAAUAAGGACCGGCUAAUUCCGUGCCAGCCGCCGC
This 510-nucleotide ribosomal RNA is filed under the name uncultured bacterium. Its description in RNAcentral is "bacterial SSU rRNA". It matches the Rfam family "Bacterial small subunit ribosomal RNA", at positions 19 to 518 of the family's 1533-position model. The record is from RNAcentral.